RNAcentral lists this ribosomal RNA (497 nucleotides) under uncultured bacterium. RNAcentral's name for it is "partial 16S ribosomal RNA". It matches the Rfam family "Bacterial small subunit ribosomal RNA", at positions 28 to 507 of the family's 1533-position model. The record is from RNAcentral.
GACGAACGCUGGCGGCGUGCCUAAUACAUGCAAGUUGAGCGCUGAAGAUUGGUACUUGUACCAACUGGAUGAGCAGCGAACGGGUGAGUAACGCGUGGGGAAUCUGCCUUUGAGCGGGGGACAACAUUUGGAAACGAAUGCUAAUACCGCAUAAAAACUUUAAACACAAGUUUUAAGUUUGAAAGAUGCAAUUGCAUCACUCAAAGAUGAUCCCGCGUUGUAUUAGCUAGUUGGUGAGGUAAAGGCUCACCAAGGCGAUGAUACAUAGCCGACCUGAGAGGGUGAUCGGCCACAUUGGGACUGAGACACGGCCCAAACUCCUACGGGAGGCAGCAGUAGGGAAUCUUCGGCAAUGGACGAAAGUCUGACCGAGCAACGCCGCGUGAGUGAAGAAGGUUUUCGGAUCGUAAAACUCUGUUGGUAGAGAAGAACGUUGGUGAGAGUGGAAAGCUCAUCAAGUGACGGUAACUACCCAGAAAGGGACGGCUAACUACGUG